CUGGUGCCAGCAGCCGCGGUAAUUCCAGCUCCAAUAGCGUAUAUUAAAGUUGUUGCAGUUAAAAAGCUCGUAGUUGAAUUUCGGAGUUUGUCGGUUGGUCGGGCUUCACUGUCCGCACUGGCCUGAUGGAUUCCUUCCUUUCUGAAUAACCGGCCAUGCUAUUAAUUUAGUGCGUUGGGGAAGCAGAGCUAUUACCUUGAAAAAAUUAGAGG
This 212-nucleotide ribosomal RNA is filed under the name uncultured Acaulospora. Its description in RNAcentral is "partial 18S ribosomal RNA". It matches the Rfam family "Eukaryotic small subunit ribosomal RNA", at positions 561 to 772 of the family's 1831-position model. The record is from RNAcentral. Lineage: Eukaryota; Fungi; Glomeromycota; Glomeromycetes; Diversisporales; Acaulosporaceae.